RNAcentral lists this long non-coding RNA (719 nucleotides) under Mus musculus (house mouse). Its description in RNAcentral is "long non-coding RNA chr4:81696440-81697159". The record is from RNAcentral. Lineage: Eukaryota; Metazoa; Chordata; Mammalia; Rodentia; Muridae.
CUGAAGCUCAGUAUCUCCUUUCAGCUGUUAGAAACUAAUUAAGAGGACAAUGACCGCGUGUUUUUCAUGGGAAGGGCAUUUCCUCAGAAAUAGCUGGGUGAAGAGUGGAAGGGUUGUGUAGUUUGAAUCAGCGGUGGGAAUGACAAGCAAGGUUUUCUUAUGAAGCAUGGUGUCUUGACUCAUGGUAUAGAGCGCCUGCUGUUGGGAAUUUGGGGGGGGGUGGGCAUUUUGCUGCAGACCAAGGUGAACUGAAGAGAGGAAGCGCAAUCUGCUUGGGAUGCCAUUCUCAGUGCUCUUAACUUGGCUAUUCAGAAAAAAUGCAGAGAAGGAUAUUCUUGGACAGCCAUACUACAGUGUCUUGCUUACUGGGACCCAAAAUGCCUAGCAAAAUCUAAAAGAUUUUUAAUCUCUUAAAAGAAAAUGAUGGCUGCUAAUAUGUUCUCAGAAAGCCCUUAUAGAAGAAAUAUAAGAAUCUCAUAACUAAACCACCCUACAUUCAAUAUCUUGUUACUCCACAUAUCCUGCAACACAAGCACCAACGUAUUUCUCUAAAGAAACCCCCUGCUAAGAAAAAUAAGGAGGAGGCCGAAUAUGCUAAAGUUCUGGCAAAAAAAAAAAAAAAAAAAAAAAGCCAAAGAAAAAUGCAAGGAACAGAUUGCCAAGUGAUGUGGAUAUGCUUGCAGAGUUUCUACUUCUAAGUCUGAGCCAGUCAAAAACAA